CCUACGGGUGGCAGCAGUGAGGAAUAUUGGUCAAUGGGCGGGAGCCUGAACCAGCCAUGCCGCGUGAAGGCGAGUGCCCUACGGGCGUUAAACUUCUUUUGUGCGGGAGCAAUAAGGGCCACGCGUGGCCCGAUGAGAGUACCGCACGAAUAAGCAUCGGCUAACUCCGUGCCAGCAGCCGCGGUAAUACGGGGGAUGCGAGCGUUAUCCGGAUUUAUUGGGUUUAAAGGGAGCGUAGGUGGAUUGUUAAGUCAGUUGUGAAAGUUUGCGGCUCAACCGUAAAAUUGCAGUUGAAACUGGCAGUCUUGAGUACAGUAGAGGUGGGCGGAAUUCGUGGUGUAGCGGUGAAAUGCUUAGAUAUCACGAAGAACUCCGAUUGCGAAGGCAGCUCACUGGACUGCAACUGACACUGAGGCUCGAAAGUGUGGGUAUCAAACAGGAUUAGAUACCCUGGUAGUC
This 459-nucleotide ribosomal RNA is filed under the name uncultured bacterium. RNAcentral's name for it is "partial 16S ribosomal RNA". It matches the Rfam family "Bacterial small subunit ribosomal RNA", at positions 338 to 795 of the family's 1533-position model. The record is from RNAcentral.